RNAcentral lists this unclassified non-coding RNA (25 nucleotides) under Mus musculus (house mouse). RNAcentral's name for it is "oocyte_clustered_small_RNA2749". Lineage: Eukaryota; Metazoa; Chordata; Mammalia; Rodentia; Muridae. The record is from RNAcentral.
GAACCACGGCCUACCGACUGUUACC